ACUGCUCAGUAACACGUGGACAACUACCCUACGGAGGGGGAUAACCCCGGGAAACUGGGGAUAAUACCCCAUAGACUAUGGAUGCUGGAAUGCUCUGUAGCCGAAAGGUCCGCCGCCGUAGGAUGGGUCUGCGGCCGAUUAGGUUGUUGUUGGGGUAACGGCCCAACAAGCCUGUAAUCGGUACGGGUUGUGGGAGCAAGAGCCCGGAGAUGGAUUCUGAGACACGAAUCCAGGCCCUACGGGGCGCAGCAGGCGCGAAAACUUUACAAUGCGGGAAACCGUGAUAAGGGAACUCUGAGUGCCCGUAAAAUCGGGCUGUCCAUCAGUUUAAAUAACUGGUGAAGAAAGGGCCGGGCAAGACCGGUGCCAGCCGCCGCGGUAAUACCGGCGGCUCGAGUGGUGGCCACUAUUACUGGGCUUAAAGCGUUCGUAGCUGGUUUGUUAAGUCUCUGGGGAAAUCUUCCGGCUUAACCGGAAGGCGUCUCAGGGAUACUGGCAGACUAGGGACCGGAAGAGGUGAGAGGUACUCCAGGGGUAGGAGUGAAAUCCUGUAAUCCUUGGGGGACCACCUGUGGCGAAGGCGUCUCACCAGAACGGCUCCGACAGUGAGGGACGAAAGCUGGGGGAGCAAACCGGAUUAGAUACCCGGGUAGUCCCAGCUGUAAACGAUGCGCGUUAGGUGUAUCGGUGACCACGAGUCACCGAGGUGCCGAAGAGAAAUCGUGAAACGUGCCGCCUGGGAAGUACGGUCGCAAGGCUGAAACUUAAAGGUAAUUGGCGGGGGAGCA
This 788-nucleotide ribosomal RNA is filed under the name uncultured Methanomicrobiaceae archaeon. RNAcentral's name for it is "bacterial SSU rRNA". It matches the Rfam family "Archaeal small subunit ribosomal RNA", at positions 85 to 878 of the family's 1478-position model. Lineage: Archaea; Methanobacteriati; Methanobacteriota; Methanomicrobia; Methanomicrobiales; Methanomicrobiaceae. The record is from RNAcentral.